Molecule: long non-coding RNA, 12115 nt
Organism: Neofelis nebulosa (Clouded leopard)
Lineage: Eukaryota; Metazoa; Chordata; Mammalia; Carnivora; Felidae
Exons: 2
Source: RefSeq, a predicted model, not a curated record
CGCUCCUUCACCUCCCUUGCCUUGUAGAUGCACUGCCCCAGGCUGUCAUCCUCACAUGGUGUUUUCCUGUGUGUGUGUGUGUGUGUGUGUGUGUGUGUGUGUGUCUGUCUGUGUCCACCUUUCCUCUUUAUGAGGACACCAGUCAUCGGAUUCAGGCCUGCCUUAGUCCACUAUGACCUCAUCCUGACUCGAUCAUCUUCAGAGACCCAAUUCCAAGUAAGGUCACAAUCACAGGUCUUGGGGGUCAGGAUUCCCAGCAUCCUUCUUGGGGACACAGUGCAGCCUAUAAUAGUAUGGUCCACAGGUGGGCGGUCCCGCCCUGGCGAGGCCAGUCAGAGGAGACAGACAAGAACAAAAGGUGAGGGGUUGCCCAGCUGGGGUCCAGAAGCCCCUGUUGCUGAAGCUCCCCUCCCCAAAACAGGGCUUCCGCACUCUGGUUGGACUUUGAUUCUUUGAGCUAAUCUGGAAGGCAGGAAUAGCCCCAGAGAAUGCUCUUGCUGAGAAACAAUUUUGAGCAGGUAAAUCUGUAUGCAUGUUGUAUCUAUAGGCACAUGAUCUGUUUCCCUCCCAGAAUGCCUCAGUGAUGAUAUUUGCCAACAUUAAAGAGUCAGAGGGACCCAGAUUACCAGGUGCCAGAGGUGGGGCCGCACCGAUGGGCAGCACGUGGGCAGGGAAGGUUAUUCCGAGUUGAGCUCAGGGUGUGCAGGUGUCACUUGGGGGCAGUCCUUCACCUUCCUUGCCUGGUGGAUGUGUUGCCCCAAUCUCUGUCAUCCUCACGUGGUGUUUUCUUGUUGACUCUUCCCGGUAAUAGUGACUGGUGGACUGUGGAGCAGAGGCCCCGCCCCACGGCGUGUAGAAAGAAAACUCGGGAUGUAAGCACUUCAAGGGCAGGGACCAGUGGUGACCAAGGGAACCUGCCUUCAGAAAGGGUUUCAGAGACGUGAGAAUAGGGCAGCCUUGCUAGGAUCAAGGGGCAUUAACAGCACCAUGAGGAUUUUUCCAGACUGUUCUCCCAGGACAGCAAAGUACUUCCCAGGACAGGAUCACCUUGGAAAUCGACAUUCCCCAAGGUGUGAACUGGAAUAAAAAUAAGAUCCUGGAUGAAAUUGGAAACCACAGAAGCAGAUGUUGGCAAAGGCCACUCAGCUCAUUCUGGAAGAGAUUCACUUUAGCUGAAGAUUAAGUAUGAAUGCGCAGGAGAUGGAUGAAACAAUGGAUGCCAGACACCUGCUCUGCGGAAAUCACCAGUAACAAGGACACCAAAAGAUGCAAAGCUUCCUCGCCCCCAGCCUCACGGGGCUCAAGGUCUGGUGGGGUUUACAAGCCACUGUCCUACAUGAGAGGAUGGGAACCUUGACAGGACAUAAAUUCUUUUAAAUCUUUUAUUUUCUUUUAACGUUUAUUCAUUUUUGGGAGACCGAGACAGAGCAUAAGCAUGGGAGGGGCAGAGAGGGAGAGGGAGACACAGAGUCUGAAGCAGGCUCUAGGCUCUGAGCUGUCAGCACAGAGCCCGACGCGGGGCUUGAACUCAUGCGCUGCCUGAUCAUGACCUGAGCUGAAGUUGGACACUUAACCGACUGAGCCAUCCAGACACCCAGGAUAUAAGUUCUUAAAAACAAAAGCAAUAGACAAGAAAAGACUAAUUAGGUAAUGUUACAUCUCUCUGGGGAGAGAGGAUCUCUGGAGAUUUUGUUUUCUGGUUCCACCUGACACCCAAGAUCCUGAAAAAAUAAUCCUUUUGGUCCACAAAGGGGAAAGGGCAAAAACUUACCACACUCAGUUGCUUGAGAAGUUUUCAGGGGCAGGAGGAAUGGGGCACAUUUAGAGUGUAACCUGUUUCUCUAUUCUGCACAACUGAUUGGUUGUCAGUGCAGAAUGGAUAUUAAAUAAUCAUUUAAUGUUUUUAUUCAUGACAGGAGCAAUCAGCACGUAAUGAAACAUGCAGGUGAUACUAGAUGGGGAGUUACUACAAAUUAGGAGAAGCAGACAAUGCCGAGGGCGGAAAAGAAGGACAGUUACAACAAAGCGAACUUCUGCUUUGCAAAACGCAAGCAAAAUACACCUGUAAAAAAAAUGCACACUGGACAGGCAGAGGGCGAGGCAGACACGGCCUUCAAGGGACAGUAGCUCCCUGCCCACUGGCCCUCCUCAGCACACUCCACCUAAGGGUCGUGUGCCUCAUAGAUCUUUUCUGGGUCAUUCUAGUGAAUUCUGCAGCCCUGUCCCAUUUCCACCCCCAGCCUUCGGUAUUCUCUCAGCAGCAUUUUCUGUCACAGCCUUCAACCUUUCCUUCCUGUUAGGGAGUUGCCUUUGCGUAUUUUGUUAUAAUUCAGAUGGCAUGGCUUUCCCACCUGGCUUGGUCCCCUCUUCCCUUGCUUCAGUGUCUACUUUGCUGGAGUCACUGGUGGCUUGGUCAUCUGCAGAUCUCCGGUGUCUGCAUCCACUGCGUUGAGAACCAUAAUCCCCGUGUACACCAGAAGCUCCCCGACCGUUUGCCUGGUGCGGCAUGUGGGCGAGCUCCCUUCGGAGCUCUUCUCUGGAGCUUCAUGUGCUGAGAUGCCUCACGUUCCCUGCCCAGGACUGCACGGUCUGACCCCUGAGAGCUCUCACCAGUCUGGAUUAUCAAAGAAAUGGCUCAUUCGUCAGCUGGAGGUGAGAAGGGAGACUUCGAGAAGUACGUUACAGCCUUAACUGUGGCCAGGUCGAGGGUUAAAGCCAUCAAGCUUUGUCUUUGUGUCACACGGAGCUCUCUAUAUCCCUUAUUGGAGACGGUGACACAAUGGCUUGUGUUAAAUCUAUCUGCAGUACGUUCGAAGCUGGCAGCCAGCCCGUUUUCUCUUGACCUGUCUAGCCCCACUUCCAGCACAGCACCUGAUGCACACUGAAGAUCUAAUAUUUGCGGAGUGAGUGCUCCGUGGUUCAUUCCAGAAGCAAGAUUUAGGGACAGCUUAGUGGGGAAGGGCUUUCUGAUCUGGAGGAACAGGAGUUGGGUGGCCCUCUGGCAAGUGUUAUAGAGGCCCCAGGGCGUCAGGGAAUCACAAGAGCUAGAUCUCAUUCUCCGUUCAUUAGCUGAAUGAACUUGGACAAGCGUUUUCUCUGAUCGCCAAGUUUAUUUGCCAAAUAGUGAAGAUAACCUCCAUUCUGUGGACUCUGUUGAUGGCGUGACCAUAAUGGAUGGGGAAGUUACCAUUUGCUUUUUGUGUGUAAUUACUAUAGAGUGGCUCCAUUCUUCCUAUGGAGAUUGGAGUGACCUUACUAACAGUCUUAGAAUUAUCAAGUUCUAGUUGCCCUCCAUCAACCUGAAUAUAUUGUGAUUUUUUUCAAGUUUCUUUAUUUUUGAGAGAGAGAGAGAGAGAGAGAGAGAGAGAGGGAAGGGCAGAGAAAGAGGGGGAGAGAAAGAAUCCCAAGCAGGCUCCACGCUGUCAGCGCAAAGCCCGAUGUGGGGCUCGAUCCCACGAACCAUGAGGUCAUGACCUGAGCCACAAUCAAGGGUUGGACGCUUAACCGACUGAGCCACCCAGGCUCUCCUGGAUAUAUUUUACAUAGUCCUUUGAACUCCAGGAUAAUCCCAGGGGGUGCGUAGGUAAGAACUGAAAAGAAUCACGGUACAUUUUCCCUUAGACAUUUUCCCGGAAGAGCAAACGUAAGCCGAUACUUGUCAGUGGACACAUGUGACUUAAUCCCCACAACACUGAAGAGACGAAAAUAACAGUCGUCUUUUUAAUGUAGGUAUCAACGGUGUGCCAGGCACCGUGCUAGAUAUUUAAGGUGCAAAGAUGAAUCAGCGUGAUAGGUGAGGUGGCCACCACAUGAAGACUCGAAGAGCCAACUGGACUAGGGAUUGGGUCACAAAUGGAGGAAAGAGAAGAAAAUUAAGAAUCAAGACAAGGGUGCUCCCGGCAGAGGAUAACACAACAGCACAAGCUAUGGAGGCCAGAUGUAAAACAAGAGGGUGUGUAUAGGGAAAGUACGAAGACAAAGCUGUUAUCAGACUUAUUAUUUUUAGCUUUGUAUUAUGGAAAACUUCAAGCAUAUACAAAAUGAUAUGGAACAAUAUGAGGAACCCGUAUGAAUUCAACAUCUAUGUUCAACUAUCAUCAGAUCAUGGCCAGAAACUCUGGUUUUCUCCAUAUCUUACUGCCUUUCUUCAGCCUUUAUAUUUUGAAGUAAAUAUCAGAUAUCUUAUCAAUGUUUAAACACUUCUCCAGGUAUUCUUUUUUUUUUUCUUAAAAAAUUUUUUUUCUUUUAUUUUAUAGAGAGCAAGCAGGGAGAGGGGCAAAGAGAGAGAGAAAGAAUCUCAAGCUGGUUUCACGCUUGGUGCAGAGUGCUACAUGGGGUUCGAUCCCAUGACCCUGGGAUCUGAGCAGAAGUCAAGAGUCAGGUGCCCAACUGACUGAGCCACCCAGGUGCCCCUGCGUGUGUCUAAAGGAUAAGGACUAUUAAUUAUAAGUCUGCUACUAUUAUCGUAUCUAAAAAAUCAGCUAUUAUUACUUGAUAUCACAAAUCUCUAAUCGGUGUUUAAGUUUCCCCUAUUAUUCCACAGAUUUUGCAUUAGUUGGUUUUAAUCAGAAUCUCAGAAAGGUCCAAACAUUGUGGUUGGGUAUAUCUACAUGUGUUUGACUCUGCAGCUUUCUCUUCCCUCAGAUUUUUUUCCUUACGAUAUUUUUUUGUGAAAGAGGGAGCCGUGUUUCCUACAGAGGGCUCCCACAUCCUGUAUUUCUUGGACGGCAUCUCUGUGGUGCUGUAUGCAUGCUCCCUUCUCUACGCCCCCUGGACAUGCCUGUUGUGUCUAGAUGUGCCUUUAUGAAGAACUUAAAGGAGGGGGGUGGUGCUGGGUGGCUCAGUAGGUUGAGCAUCCGACUUCAGAUCAUGAUCUCACGGUUCGUGAGUUCGAGCCCCGCGUCCGGCUGUCUGCCGUCAGCACAGAACCCACUUCAGAUCCUCUUUCCCUGCCCCCCACCUCUGCCCCUUCCCCACUUGCACACAUGCACACACACUCUCUCUCAAAAAUAAAUAAAUAUUAAAAAAAAAAAAAGAACCUGAGUGGGUGGAGGAGACCCAAUGAGGCUUGGUGAGAGUUGCCAUGGAUGAACUAGGACACUGUUGUACUAUUAACCUAAGGUUUUAGUUUUCAGUGUUUCUUGCUCUCUGGUCCUCUGUGUUUGCCACCACCGCCAGCCCAGCGCUGUUGGAGUCGGGCAACAGUGUGGUGUCUAUACUGAGGUUUCUGGGUAGAGUGACUGCACCAAAGACACGGGAAAACAAAACUUCUGGUAGAAAUGCAGGGUGGUUCUUGUAGACAGAGGCCUGGGGGCCAAGUGGAGGCAGAUACCUCAGUCGGUGUUGGUGCCAGUAACCAGGGGUCAGGAGUCAAACGGAAAUCUCCAUCAAUUCUCAGGAGAUGCUGACUACUGAGAACCCCAAGCUUUCCCACCCGGUGCUUUGUUACCCUGGAACUUAGCCCAAGUCAAAGUCGGCAGGGGUGAGGGAGAAACCCUAAGCCAGUCACAGGGGUCGUGGGUGGGGGGGUUGCAGAGAAGCUCCCUGAGUGGAUUGCUUAAUAGGAAUUGUUUAAAAGUUCAUUUUCUUGAGCGAAAAGGGUGCUGGAGGCAGAAAAAAAAAAAAUGCAGUGCUACUUUGUGGCUCUCCGAAUCUGCUGAAAGCCUGGUGUCACGAUUGCAGACGCGGUGUUCAGGACCUGAAAUUGUUGGCAGGGGAAAGGGGCGCUUAAAUGCUGAUUUUGGACACAGCAGUGUUUCGAAGUAUUGCCCAUCCUAGCGGCAGCCCGUCAGGAUAAGGUUCACAACAAGGGCUUUCUAGACCGAAUCCAUGGAGCCCCACCGGCCAUGCUUCCUCGUCUCCCACACACUUGCCUUUGUGCUUCUCUCGCACGGUUUUCUCUUCUGUCUUUUGUCCUUUUUGGUACUUUCUUCAGAACUUUGGAAGGUCUGAGAUCUGAUUCUAAUGUUUUGCUUUUUUUUAACUGUGAGGUUUCUGGCUGGAUUUUGCUGGCACUCUGCUUUCUCAGAGAGACAUCAGUAGCCAGGAGGACAUUGACAAAGACAACAGGGCUCAGGUCCAAGUGCACGAAUGUCCAGGCAACCGCCAGCCCAUUCUCGAAGUUCGCGGCAGCCUGCAGGGCUGGUGCUUCUUUUGUUCCCAUCAGAUUCCAAAGGAGUCAGCCAGCCUCAUAGCCCAGUGCCCUCCGAGUCAUCCUCUCUCGCCCAAACUGCAGCCAGAAUUCACCAACGAUGAGAUGGAGGGAAAGGCCACUGUGUUUUUCUGGGUCUCCAAAUUCCUGUUCCAGAUUUAGCUCCAAUUUUUCCAGCUCAUGCUCCCUAACCAUCACCACCCAGGCCUUCACUGUCCCAGACCACAGCAGAGAUGCAUGGAAUCUCCCGCCCUGUCUUCUCACCUGCAAAUUCUCAUCUCCUCCUAGAGACCCGCUCACGUCCCAUCCUCUGUGAAGACUUACCUGCAGAUCUGGCCACCACCCUGUCUCACCUUCUGAGACCAGCGUCCGCAGCCCCUCCUUCCUCUUGCAGCCCUCUACCAUUCGGUCUAGUCACCAGGUUGACACUUGAGAUCAAUUGCAGUGACACAUUUAUGAGUCUGUAUUCCUUUGUGGAAUGCACUUUCCUUGAGAGAACAUAGGGCCUGAGUCUACACUUUAUUUUUCCUAGUGUCUAGGGGUUGGGUACCAAAUGAUUUCUAGAAGGGCGAAUGGACACCACAGAAUCAAAAGGCAAAUAAAACAAUAUUUCGAUGACCUGGGCUCUGCUAAUACAGUGGCCCCAGUAGCCCUACUCUGUUCACCCCCAACAACAUGAAAGUGGGUCACAGACAUAAAUAGGCUGCUGGCACUCAGACCGGAGCUUCAUCAUCAGGUCCAAAUUCAUUCCCAGUGUCCAGGCAAAAGCAUAACGUAGCCCACACUGAGCUUGCUUAUGUAAAUAUUUUUCCGCAUGGUUUUGUGGGUCUGACUUGGGGUCUGACUUCCAAUGUCAGCAUAGAACCCUGUUGGGAGUAUAACGUUUCCACCAGGCUUCAGUUGAAUAUUUAUGAAUAUUCUGUAGUCACUGCCUUCUAUUGUUCCUGGAAGACUUGUAUUAUUUAGAGAGUGAUUAAUCAUAUUCCGAGGGAACAUGCUGGAGCUAAGCCCCGUGGUGAGGUUUCUGAUGGCUUUUUCUUCCCGGAUGGGCAAAAGACUAACAUCAACCAAAGCUCUCCCGGAGAACUGCUUGUCUCCUGUACCCAUCUGCGCACAUUUCCAUGGGUCAGGGCAGAAUUCCAUCCCCAGGCAGCCAGUUCAGGGAGGGCACAGCUCAGGAAUCAGUCUCCUGCUGUUCAAUUUUGCUGAAUAUUAGCACACCCAUUCUUUGGCAUUCACGAUUUAGGCCAAAUGCUGAGGCCUAGAAUGACAUCUCACGCUUGCUUGUGGUCAGGAUAUCGCAGCUCUUCAAAUUACCCAACACGAGAAUGAGAAACAGUUCUAGAGUCUCGGAAGUUAAUAUGCAGGAAUGCUCACUCUGUGCUGUAGACCUAUUACUCGACAGGCUUUACCUAUCAAGUAUCAUAUGUAGUAUAAGUCAUCUAUUUUGUAUGGUAGGCAUUUUCCCCCAGUUUACUCCAGAUAAAAGAGGCAGGGGCGUAUCAGUGUGCUACUGAUAAUUAAUCAUCCCCACCCAAAUUGAGCGGCUGAAAACCAUGAACAUUUACAUUUACUACUACCCAUGCAUCGAGUGGUGGCGUGGACACUUCUUCCAGCCUCCGCAGAGCUCACCCAGGCCCCUGGGAUUAGCUCCGGGUCAGCUGGGUACGUGGUUCUCCGGGUCGAGGCUGGGGCCUGUCCUGUGUCCCUUACCUCAGCUGGGGCAGUUGGAUGGACUCGGCUGUGCCUUGUGUGGCCUCUUAUUUCCUGCUGUUGUCCUCAGCCUGGCCUGGGCAGAGGUCAGAGAAAGAGCAGAUACAGGCACCCACGCUGGUAGUCUAGGCUCGAACCUAUUUCAUUUUGACUUUGACUUGGAUUUUGACACGGACAGAGGGAGGACAUGCGGGUGCCAGUCACUGCUGUGUUCUUAGCAAUGAUUCGGAACACUCGAGAAAAGAGGGAUAGAAAGGAGGCCUUCCGUCUCAAGGAAAGGUCACAAGGCAUAGCAUCCACAGUGGGAAGGACAUCAUUGUCCCAAGUUAAAAUAGAUGGCAGGCAUCUCUGGAGGGGAGUGAGGUAAAUGAGGUUUGCUCACCAUUCGUUCCAGGGCACACAGUGUUGAGUGAUACGGGCCAGAGGAGACGGUAGAGACACGUAUGCAGCUUCUCUCUCCGUAUCUCUGCUCACUGAGAAGUGAAUUCUCUCCUCGGGUCAGAGACUGAUUGCAGUACAGACCGAUCACUGGCUUCACUGCUUCUUCACCAGCUCAGAUAUGCAACUUCUGCCCCUGCAACAUAGUGGGGGUGGUCAUGCUACAGAUGGAACAGUGUCCAGUAAGUGCCUGUGCAGCCCCUCUCCUUUCUUGAGACCCUUCUUUAGGAGGAACAAAAAUACAACAAAACAACAACAGCAACUCGGCUGGAAAUAUUUGUGGUCUGAGCCCUGAGUAGAGACGGAAGAGCUCAAGUUUGACGUUUAUCCUCAGGUUAAGUUGUAGGCAGGUCGGGGGCACAAUCGGCUUUGCAGUUUAGUCCCGGGUGAAUGCCGACACUAGAUUUGGGAACACAAACCUGGCUGUGGCGGGAGUUCAGCGGCGAGAUGAUGAAGGUCCUGACCAAGGCCAGUUGGGUUGGAGAAUAGAGGUUGUAUUUAGUGAUGUUCGUAAGGAACAUCACUUGGCAGUUCCUUGGGUGCAGAGUUGUGGAGAUGACAGGGAGAAGUCAGCAGCUCCCUGUUUUUGGCUUGAGACUCUGAAUGAAUGUGCAGAGUGCCCUGGGGUAGUGACUAUGGGGGAGAAACAGGAUGGAGAUGGGAGGGAAAUUGUUGGUUUAGCUAUGGACAGGCUGAGCACCCAGUGGGUGUGUUCGAAGGACAGGUGGAUAUAUGAGAAUAACCCUUAGGUAAGUAUUCAGGGUGGGAUAUUAAUUUUGGAGCAUUGUUAUACAAGUGGACGGUAAGGAUAUGGGAGCCAAAGAGGGAUGAGAGAGAGAGUUGCCAAAGGAGAAGAGGCCCAAGGCAGGGAAUUAACUUUAAAGCAUGGGCAGAAGAAGAGCUACCUGUAGAAGGGAGGCUCAGGAGAAGUUGUCUGCAAGGUAGAGGGAGAAAAUAGGAGUGGAGAAUAAACCAUUUCCAAAAGGAAGGAAUGGUCUAGUGUCUCAUGCUGCAUAAAAUUCAGGUUAGCUCUUUCUGAAAGUAUCUGUUAUUUAGAGCCAUAAGGAGAGCGUUGGUGAUCCCAAAGAAAAGAUUGUAUGAGAGCAGAGUCACGGACGCCAGCUUGUGGUAAAUAUAAACAGCUAUUGCGUUUAACAUGCUUGUUACACGUCCGUGACUUUGCUUGGCCGUAACAACAAUAAUGGUAGAGAAACUAACAUUCCCUGGGGGUUUAACCUGUUCCCAACAUGGCGCUUAGUGUUUUAGAAGGCGCCUUUUCUUCUUUAAAACUCUCAACAACACUGUGACUUUGGUGGUCUCAUUUCUACCUUGUAAUUGAGCACAGGAGACUUAGAAAUGAAGUAUUCGGUCCAAAGGCACUCACCUAAUCAUGGGGGAACAGAAUUGGUUCCCAGGGGCAGCCCUCUUAGAAAACAGUGCCCCCUGUUCGUGGUGUAUUAGUUCAGGCUCUUUGGGCUACAGGGAUCACAUCAAGCUAUUUUAAGCACGCAAGAAGAAGGCAGAUGGAUUCAUGACAAGGAUACAGGCAGGUGUACAGGAAAUCUAUUGGGAUGGAAAAAAGCUGUGGUCUUUGUAGUGAACUCAGUCUUCUCUCCAUCUUCUUGCAUUGACCUCUCCUCCUUCCUGAAGGCUAACUUUAUCGGUUCCCCACACAUCAAUUUCCUGGCAACAACUGCUUACAUUCACUCUUCAAAGAGGACUUAAGUUGAUGUGGGCAUCCCUCAGUUCCAAAUGCCAAUUCCUGGGGAAGAACUCUAGUUGGAAGGAGUUGAUCAAGUGCCUUCCUCAGGCUGAAUCGACUGAAGCCGGGGUCCUGGACAGUCAUCGAAUGGCUACUCUCGUUUGACCACUGAGAACCAACAGGGCCAGGAGAGCAGGUCCCUCAAUAGCAGGAUGGGUGUGGGGAGUCGGGGAUAAAUCAGUAGUGUCCAUAUGUCUAAUUUCUGUGCCAUCCCUGAGAGCUCGAUCGUUUACCCCACAUUUUAUUUUAUUUUUUAAGUAAACUCCAUAUCUCUACAUCCAGUGUGGGGCUCAAACUCACGACCCAGAGAUUAAGAGUCUUAUGCUCUACUGACUGAAUCACCCAGGUGCUCUUACCCCACAUUUUAAACCUAAGGACCAACAGGUAAGUGAAAAAAUGCUCAACGUCGCUAAUCAUCAGGAAAAUACAAAUCAAAACUGCAAGGAGAUAUCACCUUAUGCCUGUCGGGAUGGCUGUUAUCAAAACAAACAAACAAAGAAAAACAAGACAACAAGCAUUAACAAGACCAUGGAGAAGACAGAACCCUCAAGCCCUGUUGGUGGGAACGUAAAACGGAGCAGCCACUGUGGAAAAUAGGAGGGAGGUUCCUCAAAGAAUGAAAACUAGAACUACCAUAAGAUCCAGCAAACCCCCUUCCGGAAGUUUAUCCCAGAGUUGAGAUUGGGAUCUCCAUGAGAAAUGAACACUUCGGUGUUCAUGGCAGAGUUCUUCACAAUACUCAGGAUAUGGAUACAACCCAAGUGUGCAACUGCAGGGGAAUGGAGAACAGAUAAAUACAUACAAUGGUCUAAACACACUAAUCAGCCUUAAAAAUGGCAGUCCUGCCACCUGUGACAACAUGGAUGGACCUUGAGGACAUUACGCUUGUUGAAAUAAGCCAGCCACAGAAAAUGAACACUGUCUGAUUCCACUCGUACGAGGUAUCUGUCGUAGUCAAAUUCACAGCAUGGAAGGGUGGAGUAGUGAUUGCUGGGGCCUAAGGGGAAGGAGGAAGGGGGUUUACUAACUAACAGGCAUCAAAUUUCAGUCAGGCAGGAUGAACAAGCUCGAGAGACCUAUUGGACGACAGCACAUGAAGGGUCCAGAAAAACGUAACGCACAUGCAGAAAUUUGUUAAGCGAGUAGAUGUCCUGUUAAGCGUUCUUACCAUAAUUUUUACAGAAAGACAAGGAAACUAAAACAGGAAAGGUAAAUAAUUUAGGUGAUGCCAAAGAGAAAUUUAGUCAUGAAAAUGAUGGUGCGUUCUGAUGACAGGCUUCAGACACUAUGAGGGAAAGGAGGCCUGGAGGGUGGUGUUACCAUCAGAAACAACAAACAAGGAUAAGAAAUGAGAGAGAUCGUGAUGAUUCCGAGUGUUGACAUGUUAGUCAAGGUUGAGGCCAUCAAGACUGGAGAGAGGGCAUUCCAAAAUGGCAGCCUGGGCUGGAGGUUGCCAGGCAGACAAGAAAAGCCAGACUCAGAGUGCCCGCAGGCACCACAGGGAUAGAGGUGUAGUGAGUGUCCCGGCCGCCAGCUGUGAGGGACUAGAGGAAGGGACAAUGAGAAGGUAUAGCCAGCUCCCGGAGGGCAGCAUCAUGGAGUGGUGACAUCACAGCAGCCUCCCGCUGAUGAAACUUAAGGUGGGCGUGGAGACUUUGGGACCCCAGGGGCUGGCAGAGGCCUGUCACCAAUAGGGACACUGAAGUCACUACGGAUGGGAAAGUGGAGGUUAACCAGCAUUUCCCACGCUGCAGCCCCUGGGCCCGUGCUCUGCACACGCCAGCACCUCAUCCCGACAGCGACCCUGGGAGGUCUCGGAGGGAUGAGGGCAGGGGAUUCGUGUUCAGGUGGAUGAGAAAUCAGACCCCCGCUUGUCCCCAGGAAACUUCUGCAGAAAGUGAUCGAUCCACACAGUGGUGAAGACACAGUUCUCGCUGGUCUGAUAGAAGUUUCUUACCAUCCUGGAGAUGAACUCCCUGAAAUAUUUUAGAAUUUGUGCCUUGAGUGACAGAAACAGCUUCGUUCUCAACAGUUCUGGGUCUUCUCCUGAA